RNAcentral lists this ribosomal RNA (254 nucleotides) under uncultured bacterium. RNAcentral describes it as "partial 16S ribosomal RNA". It matches the Rfam family "Bacterial small subunit ribosomal RNA", at positions 524 to 776 of the family's 1533-position model. The record is from RNAcentral.
UACGGGGGGGGGCAAGCGUUGUUCGGAAUUACUGGGCGUAAAGGGCUCGUAGGCGGCCAACUAAGUCGGACGUGAAAUCCCCAGGCUCAACCUGGGAACUGCGUCUGAUACUGGAUGGCUUGAAUCCGGGAGAGGGAUGCAGAAUUCCAGGUGUAGCGGUGAAAUGCGCAGAUAUCAGGAAGAACACCCGUGGCUAAGGCGGCUCUCUAGUACGGUACUGACGCUGAGACGCGAAAGCGUGGGGAGCGAACAGG